GACACUUCAAGGCGAGUCUUGAUUUGCUCAGAAACAACACCAAAAGCAAGAAAACCAGCCCAAGCAAGUCCAGCACCAAGGCCAAAUCUCCUUGUUAAGGAAGAGGCAAUCCAAUCAGUAGAUUCUGCAGUUGUCGAUAGGCGGGCAGGUUUACUACUAGGCUUUUGCUGCUGCACAUUAGCUGCUGGGGCAGGUGAUGGAGGCUCUGAAGAAGUUGCACUUAGAUUUUGAGAUGGUGGUGGAGUUUGUGGUUGUGGAGGUUGAUUUGGUGGCUGAGGAGGAGGAGGGGUUUGUGAGGAUGAAGAGAAGUUAGUUCUGGUAAUUGGGUGAGACACAAAUGGUGGUGAUCCAAAGAAGGUUGCCAUUUUUUGGAUAUGAUAUGAGCAUAUGAUAAGACUAGCUGAUAUUUGUAAUGACUUAAACUGCAUUCAGUAGUAUAUGGUCCCUACCUUAUCCUUACAUGCCUCAUUUUUUUUCUUUUUGUCCGGAUCAACUUGUGAACGUCUCGAAUAUUCCAUCGGAUAUCUAUUAUUUCUUUUCAACGAAAGUACCGGGUAACUUUGCGACCAAGAUUAGGCAGAUAGAGAAAAACACCUAUCAUUUUUUAUCUUUUGAAAUUUGAACCUUUACUUUCCGUAAAUAUCAUCAUAUUUCAUUGACAACUACGCCACACCCUUGAAGCAUUCUCCGGCUUGAAAGGUUUGGAAACUCUAAGUGGCCAAAUCAUCAACACAUCAACAGGGUAAAUUAACAAUUGAUGAUUAACUAAAUUUUAAAUCAAAAGGGAAACAAAAAAGAACAUGAUUUUUAUUUUAUUUUUUAAAAACAAAAAGAACAUAGUAACAUCUCUGCUUCUGCCACUGGAUAAUCAAGCAUCUCAAUUUCAUUGCUUUUCUUUCGGCUUCAGUAUGAAGAAUUUGGAAAAUAUUCUCAAUCACUCUGUAAUUACAACGAGAUCCCUAAAAUGAAUAUACAUGAGAGAAAAUACACAACUUUGAGGACUGUGGGUUGACAACUGCCAGAAAACAAAAGCAGGAAAAAAGAAUCACAAUUGACUCAAUAUGAAGUAUAUGUCUGUUGACAGAUCCUUUGGCUUCCUUCAAUUUCUGGUUGAGCAAAUAUGAACAUGUCUUCAUUUCCAAUAAAAGAUAAAAAUUCCGUUUUCCUUCUGUCCUAAACCUGUUGUGCUGCUGGAUCACCCAAGUUUGUUUAUGACCGGCCCUUUUCUUGACCUCUGUUCGCCAGUGGUUUUGGUACUUGUGAACUGUUUAUAGGCUUUUGCAGUGGUUUCAAAGCAGCCAUAAUCUCACCAAAUGAAGGCCGUAACUUUGGAUCUCUGCACAUAAGCAGGAAAAGCAAAAAAAUAUAUAAGAUUUUUACACCAGCAAAACCGAAGAUGACCUUGUAUCCGCACACAGCAUGUACUGUAUUUUGUCAUGCCUGGUGCUUUGGUACCGACGUCAUCUAUAAGUGACUCACUCCAUCUUUUUUUCUCUCUUUCUUAUAAGAGUGGUGUCCAGGAAAACUUGUAUACACUUCACAUAUUCCACCUGGUUUUACUACCCCCAGCACAGGUACCAUACCAGGUAACUAUGCCCGCCAAGGCUUUGACAAAUGGGAAGAAAUCACCUAGUGUUUUUUGUCUCUGCAGGGAUUUGAACCUGAUUUCCAAGGUUUGCACCCAUUUCAUUGAUCACUAGGCCCCACAAUGUAUUUGGACGAAUUAGAAAUGGCUUCCUGCAUGCCAUGGUCGUACGCUCUUUUAAGCCGCUACACCCUUGGGUGCAGGAUUUUCAGGUAUUCUCUUUUAGAAAGAGUCAUCAAAUUACUUAAUUGAUUUCAUAUAGUAGGUUAUACAACUAUGAUCUCCUUGGUUGACUUUAAAAGAAGGGACUCCAACCAUUACAUUAUCUAAAAGUACUAAAGUAGUAAACCCAGCCAUGUACAUUGACACUUUUGAGGUCAAUUUACAACGAGUCAAUGACCAAGCACCCUUGCUCUUUAUAACUGUGUUACUGUGUAGAUAUUUUUUUUUUGAUAAGGUAAAAUUUUAUUAAAAGGUACCAAGAUGGUACAAGUGUCACUGUGUAGAUAUUAACAGAAGCACUGAACAUUCGGGCAUUGCCCUACCAGCACUGUAAGGGUCACCUACGUGCCUUGGUUACUGGUCUACCACCGACAACCAUAUGAUAAAGAAAUGAGUAAAAGAUAGCGGAGGAAGCUCAAAUAGGGGCCGAAUGACUGAAAGAUAA
RNAcentral lists this long non-coding RNA (2252 nucleotides) under Nicotiana tabacum (common tobacco). RNAcentral describes it as "long non-coding RNA (NTAB_LNC011517)". Lineage: Eukaryota; Viridiplantae; Streptophyta; Magnoliopsida; Solanales; Solanaceae. The record is from RNAcentral.